RNAcentral lists this unclassified non-coding RNA (270 nucleotides) under Aplosporella africana. Its description in RNAcentral is "partial internal transcribed spacer region". The stretch from base 1 to 46 matches the Rfam family "Eukaryotic small subunit ribosomal RNA", at positions 1786 to 1831 of the family's 1831-position model. The record is from RNAcentral. Lineage: Eukaryota; Fungi; Ascomycota; Dothideomycetes; Botryosphaeriales; Aplosporellaceae.
AAGUCGUAACAAGGUUUCCGUAGGUGAACCUGCGGAAGGAUCAUUACCGAGUUCUGGGUUCUCUCAAUCGAGGCCCGCUCUCCCACCCUUUGUGAACUUAACCUCUGUUGCUUUGGCGUGGCCAGCGCUGUAAAAGGCGCGGUCGGCGGGGCCUGGCCCCCGCUGGCAAGCUUGCCCGCCAGAGGACUAUCAAACUCUUGUCAGUAAACGAUGCAGUCUGAUCAAACAUUUAAUUGUUUAAAACUUUCAACAACGGAUCUCUUGGUUCUG